AGGCCGGAGACCACACCCCCGCCACAUAGAUCAUAUCACUACUGUGAGAUAAAAGUGAAAGAGCAGCUCACAGAUCAGUGGGAAGUCACAUCAGGAGAACAUUAAGUAUUUGUAGCAUGUGAUUCCCUUGUGUUUUCAGUCUGUGAAACAGCUGUUUGUCCCUUCACCAGGCAGUGAUGGCAGCAGCAGCGUUCAGGAGCAGAGGACUGGCUGGUGUCAGAAACACCAACGUUUUAAUCCUCAUCUUUCUGCUGUCCCUGGUUUAUGUCACAAAUUCACUGAUGAAAGCAGAAUACAAGAAGAAAGAAGCAAGUGAACUUGAUGAAAAACUACAGUUUCUUCAAUCUUUUGAAGAACUAAUACGGACAUCGUCAGUUUUUGAGGAUUUUCCUGCAAUGAUGGACGUAGUAAAUAGUUUGAGACGCUUCUACAAGAGAACCAUCAUCCCAUCAGACAGAGAGGAAGAAGAAAAAUGGGGAAAAUGGGGAAAUAAAAGAGGAAAACAUGAAAAUCAUCCUAAAACUCAACCAAAUAAACUUUAAAAGUUUCUAUAUAAUAAAUAAUAAUACAAAAUAAAUCAUAAAAUAAUGAUACAUCUCAUCAUUAAAUAUGAUGGUUUUCUGUAAGAGAAAUGACAGCUGUAUGUUGUUUAUGCUGUUCUCACUGGGAAGCAGCUUUUAUUGCAUUUUACAUAAUAGACUGAUAA
Long non-coding RNA from Oreochromis niloticus (Nile tilapia), 706 nucleotides. RefSeq lists it as uncharacterized. Lineage: Eukaryota; Metazoa; Chordata; Actinopteri; Cichliformes; Cichlidae. The transcript is spliced from 3 exons. The record is from RefSeq and is a predicted model, not a curated record.